Molecule: ribosomal RNA, 2351 nt
Filed under: Escherichia coli
Lineage: Bacteria; Pseudomonadati; Pseudomonadota; Gammaproteobacteria; Enterobacterales; Enterobacteriaceae
Description: 23S ribosomal RNA
Rfam family: Bacterial large subunit ribosomal RNA
Source: RNAcentral
UUAAGCGACUAAGCGUACACGGUGGAUGCCCUGGCAGUCAGAGGCGAUGAAGGACGUGCUAAUCUGCGAUAAGCGUCGGUAAGGUGAUAUGAACCGUUAUAACCGGCGAUUUCCGAAUGGGGAAACCCAGUGUGUUUCGACACACUAUCAUUAACUGAAUCCAUAGGUUAAUGAGGCGAACCGGGGGAACUGAAACAUCUAAGUACCCCGAGGAAAAGAAAUCAACCGAGAUUCCCCCAGUAGCGGCGAGCGAACGGGGAGGAGCCCAGAGCCUGAAUCAGUGUGUGUGUUAGUGGAAGCGUCUGGAAAGGCGCGCGAUACAGGGUGACAGCCCCGUACACAAAAAUGCACAUGCUGUGAGCUCGAUGAGUAGGGCGGGACACGUGGUAUCCUGUCUGAAUAUGGGGGGACCAUCCUCCAAGGCUAAAUACUCCUGACUGACCGAUAGUGAACCAGUACCGUGAGGGAAAGGCGAAAAGAACCCCGGCGAGGGGAGUGAAAAAGAACCUGAAACCGUGUACGUACAAGCAGUGGGAGCAUGCUUAGGCGUGUGACUGCGUACCUUUUGUAUAAUGGGUCAGCGACUUAUAUUCUGUAGCAAGGUUAACCGAAUAGGGGAGCCGAAGGGAAACCGAGUCUUAACUGGGCGUUAAGUUGCAGGGUAUAGACCCGAAACCCGGUGAUCUAGCCAUGGGCAGGUUGAAGGUUGGGUAACACUAACUGGAGGACCGAACCGACUAAUGUUGAAAAAUUAGCGGAUGACUUGUGGCUGGGGGUGAAAGGCCAAUCAAACCGGGAGAUAGCUGGUUCUCCCCGAAAGCUAUUUAGGUAGCGCCUCGUGAACUCAUCUCCGGGGGUAGAGCACUGUUUCGGCAAGGGGGUCAUCCCGACUUACCAACCCGAUGCAAACUGCGAAUACCGGAGAAUGUUAUCACGGGAGACACACGGCGGGUGCUAACGUCCGUCGUGAAGAGGGAAACAACCCAGACCGCCAGCUAAGGUCCCAAAGUCAUGGUUAAGUGGGAAACGAUGUGGGAAGGCCCAGACAGCCAGGAUGUUGGCUUAGAAGCAGCCAUCAUUUAAAGAAAGCGUAAUAGCUCACUGGUCGAGUCGGCCUGCGCGGAAGAUGUAACGGGGCUAAACCAUGCACCGAAGCUGCGGCAGCGACGCUUAUGCGUUGUUGGGUAGGGGAGCGUUCUGUAAGCCUGUGAAGGUGUACUGUGAGGUAUGCUGGAGGUAUCAGAAGUGCGAAUGCUGACAUAAGUAACGAUAAAGCGGGUGAAAAGCCCGCUCGCCGGAAGACCAAGGGUUCCUGUCCAACGUUAAUCGGGGCAGGGUGAGUCGACCCCUAAGGCGAGGCCGAAAGGCGUAGUCGAUGGGAAACAGGUUAAUAUUCCUGUACUUGGUGUUACUGCGAAGGGGGGACGGAGAAGGCUAUGUUGGCCGGGCGACGGUUGUCCCGGUUUAAGCGUGUAGGCUGGUUUUCCAGGCAAAUCCGGAAAAUCAAGGCUGAGGCGUGAUGACGAGGCACUACGGUGCUGAAGCAACAAAUGCCCUGCUUCCAGGAAAAGCCUCUAAGCAUCAGGUAACAUCAAAUCGUACCCCAAACCGACACAGGUGGUCAGGUAGAGAAUACCAAGGCGCUUGAGAGAACUCGGGUGAAGGAACUAGGCAAAAUGGUGCCGUAACUUCGGGAGAAGGCACGCUGAUAUGUAGGUGAGGUCCCUCGCGGAUGGAGCUGAAAUCAGUCGAAGAUACCAGCUGGCUGCAACUGUUUAUUAAAAACACAGCACUGUGCAAACACGAAAGUGGACGUAUACGGUGUGACGCCUGCCCGGUGCCGGAAGGUUAAUUGAUGGGGUUAGCGCAAGCGAAGCUCUUGAUCGAAGCCCCGGUAAACGGCGGCCGUAACUAUAACGGUCCUAAGGUAGCGAAAUUCCUUGUCGGGUAAGUUCCGACCUGCACGAAUGGCGUAAUGAUGGCCAGGCUGUCUCCACCCGAGACUCAGUGAAAUUGAACUCGCUGUGAAGAUGCAGUGUACCCGCGGCAAGACGGAAAGACCCCGUGAACCUUUACUAUAGCUUGACACUGAACAUUGAGCCUUGAUGUGUAGGAUAGGUGGGAGGCUUAGAAGUGUGGACGCCAGUCUGCAUGGAGCCGACCUUGAAAUACCACCCUUUAAUGUUUGAUGUUCUAACGUUGACCCGUAAUCCGGGUUGCGGACAGUGUCUGGUGGGUAGUUUGACUGGGGCGGUCUCCUCCUAAAGAGUAACGGAGGAGCACGAAGGUUGGCUAAUCCUGGUCGGACAUCAGGAGGUUAGUGCAAUGGCAUAAGCCAGCUUGACUGCGAG